This is a non-coding RNA of Acanthosepion pharaonis, 108 nucleotides long. Lineage: Eukaryota; Metazoa; Mollusca; Cephalopoda; Sepiida; Sepiidae. The record is from the annotation of a GenBank genome assembly.
UACGGCGGUAUCACGUUGAAACACCGGUUCACGUACGAUCACCGAAGUCAAACAACGUCAAGCCUGGUCAGUACAUAUAUGUAUGACCGCUUGGAAAUACCAGGUGCU